RNAcentral lists this ribosomal RNA (408 nucleotides) under Rhizobium hidalgonense. RNAcentral's name for it is "bacterial SSU rRNA". It matches the Rfam family "Bacterial small subunit ribosomal RNA", at positions 19 to 456 of the family's 1533-position model. The record is from RNAcentral. Lineage: Bacteria; Pseudomonadati; Pseudomonadota; Alphaproteobacteria; Hyphomicrobiales; Rhizobiaceae.
AUGGCUCAGAACGAACGCUGGCGGCAGGCUUAACACAUGCAAGUCGAGCGCCCCGCAAGGGGAGCGGCAGACGGGUGAGUAACGCGUGGGAAUCUACCCUUGACUACGGAAUAACGCAGGGAAACUUGUGCUAAUACCGUAUGUGUCCUUCGGGAGAAAGAUUUAUCGGUCAAGGAUGAGCCCGCGUUGGAUUAGCUAGUUGGUGGGGUAAAGGCCUACCAAGGCGACGAUCCAUAGCUGGUCUGAGAGGAUGAUCAGCCACAUUGGGACUGAGACACGGCCCAAACUCCUACGGGAGGCAGCAGUGGGGAAUAUUGGACAAUGGGCGCAAGCCUGAUCCAGCCAUGCCGCGUGAGUGAUGAAGGCCCUAGGGUUGUAAAGCUCUUUUCACCGGAGAAGAUAAUGACG